UCUGGUUGAUCCUGCCAGUAGUGAUAUGCUUGUUUCAAAGAUUAAGCCAUGCAUGUCUAAGUAUAAGCGAACUUAUACAGUGAAACUGCGGAUGGCUCAUUAAAACAGUUUGAAUUUAUUUGAUGAAUGUAUGAGAAUACUACUUGGAUAACCGUAGUAAUUCUAGAGCUAAUACAUGCAACGACGCCCGACCGUUUCACUACGGAAGGGCUGUAUUUAUUGGAUACCAAAACCAUCCUUCCCUCGGGAAGUUUUGUUUGAUGAUUCACAAUAACUGAUCGGAUCGCCACUGUGGUGGCGACAGGUCAUUCAACAUUCUGCCCUAUCAGCUUUCGAUGGUUGUGUAGUGGACAACCAUGGCCAUAACGGGUAACGGAGAAUCAGGGUUCGAUUCCGGAGAAGGAGCUUGAGAAUUGGUUACUACAUCUAAGGAAGGCAGCAGGCGCGCAAAUUACCCAAUCCCGAUUCGGGGAGGUAGUGACAAAAAAUAACAAUACCGGGCCUUUUUGGGCUUGGUAAUUGGAAUGAGGGAGAGUUAAACGGACCAUCGAGUAUCCAUUGGAGGGCAAGUCUGGUGCCAGCAGCUGCGGUAAUACCAGCUCCAAUAGCGUAUAUUAAAGUUGUUGCAGUUAAAAAGCUCGUAGUUGGACUUGUGUGCGCUGUCCGCGGGUGGCCUGCGCCCAAAAGGGCGUUUCGGUUCGGCCCCGGUGGCGCCUUGAAAUCUGCAGCUGGGGGGACGUUGGCCUUAACUGGUCGGCGACCGCACGCCGGCUGCUCGGUUACUGUGAGAAAAUUAGAGUGUUCAAGGCAGGCAUUGGGUGCAAUUGAAUACAUUAGCAUGGAAUAAUAAAAUAUGGCUCCUGCCGUAUUUUGUUGGUUUUGACUGGUGGGAGUAAUGAUUGAUAGGGACGGUUGGGGGUGCUAGUAUUGAGCGGCCAGAGGUGAAAUUCAUGGAUUCGCUCAAGACUAACUUAUGCGAAAGCAUUCACCAAGGACGUCCUCUUUAAUCAAGAACGAAAGUUGGGGGAUCGAAGACGAUCAGAUACCGUCGUAGUCUCAACCAUAAACUAUGUCGACUUGGGAUCGGCGGUAGUUUUUUCAUUAAGACACUGUCGGGACCACGGGAGAAAUCAAAGUGUCUGGACUCUGGGGGAAGUAUGGUCGCAAGGCUGAAACUUGAAGGAAUUGACGGAAGGGCACCACCAGGAGUGGAGCCUGCGGC
RNAcentral lists this ribosomal RNA (1222 nucleotides) under metagenome. RNAcentral's name for it is "SSU rRNA". It matches the Rfam family "Eukaryotic small subunit ribosomal RNA", at positions 1 to 1189 of the family's 1831-position model. The record is from RNAcentral.